RNAcentral lists this ribosomal RNA (320 nucleotides) under uncultured eukaryote. Its description in RNAcentral is "partial 18S ribosomal RNA". It matches the Rfam family "Eukaryotic small subunit ribosomal RNA", at positions 1470 to 1796 of the family's 1831-position model. The record is from RNAcentral.
CCCUUAGAUGUUCUGGGCCGCACGCGUGCUACACUGAGUGGAUCAGCGGGUCAGGUUGCGCGAAAGUGUUUCCUAAUCUUUAAAUCCGCUCGUGAUGGGGAUUGACGGUUGCAAUUUUCCGUCAUGAACGAGGAAUACCUUGUAAGCGCGGGUCAUCAUCCCGCGCUGAUUACGUCCCUGCCCUUUGUACACACCGCCCGUCGCACCUACCGAUUGAACGGUCCGGUGAAAUCUUGGGAUUUGCUUUGCUUUCGUUUAUUCGAUGCUCGGCGAAGAACUUGAGUAAACCUUACCGUUUAGAGGAAGGAGAAGUCGUAACA